UGAGAAAGCUAAUUCCUAACUCUAUGAAAGACCAUAGCUUUGUCUAUUUCAACUGUAGCUCUAAAGAAAACUUUAGUGUAGAUGGGAGCAGAAGGUGUUCAACUGCUGACAAAACAUACCUGCGUAAGGGCUGGACCAAAAUUUCCUGGGACACCAUCAAAGCAAAUCAUAAGGAAGUUAAUCUGCCUAUUUUUUUUUACUGAGAAGCAAUAUCCAUUCAAAACCAACUGGAAGUCAAGAAUGGAUACAGUGUUCUGAUGUAGUGAGGUGGAAAUGAGAUCACAAAAAAAAAAAAAAAAAAAAAAAAAUAACACAGCCAAUAACUUUUAUAUGGACUUAGAGGUGAAAAACACCAUUCUCAGUAACGCAUGGGUUCUAGAGAUA
RNAcentral lists this long non-coding RNA (384 nucleotides) under Anas platyrhynchos platyrhynchos (common mallard). RNAcentral describes it as "lncRNA (ENSAPLG00000018046.1)". Lineage: Eukaryota; Metazoa; Chordata; Aves; Anseriformes; Anatidae. The record is from RNAcentral.